GCUCUACGUGACCCUGCCUUGGUAGGGGGAUUGAUCUGGAUGAUCUCCAGAGAUCCCUUCCAACCUUAACAAUUCUGUGAUUCUAGAAAUGCUUCUUUCU
Molecule: long non-coding RNA, 100 nt
Organism: Neopelma chrysocephalum (saffron-crested tyrant-manakin)
Lineage: Eukaryota; Metazoa; Chordata; Aves; Passeriformes; Pipridae
Exons: 3
Source: RefSeq, a predicted model, not a curated record